This 253-nucleotide ribosomal RNA is filed under the name uncultured bacterium. RNAcentral describes it as "partial 16S ribosomal RNA". It matches the Rfam family "Bacterial small subunit ribosomal RNA", at positions 524 to 776 of the family's 1533-position model. The record is from RNAcentral.
GACGAACCGAGCGAACGUUGUUCGGAAUCACUGGGCUUAAAGGGCGCGUAGGCGGGCUCGCAAGUCUGUGGUGAAAUCCUCCAGCCCAACUGGAGAAUGGCCGUGGAUACUGCGGGUCUCGAGGGAGGUAGGGGCGUGCGGAACAGAUGGUGGAGCGGUGAAAUGCGUUGAUAUCAUCUGGAACACCUGAGGCGAAGGCGGCACCCUGGCCGAGAUCUGACGCUGAAGCGCGACAGCGUGGGGAGCGAACGGG